This 32-nucleotide non-coding RNA is filed under the name Rattus norvegicus (Norway rat). The record is from RNAcentral. Lineage: Eukaryota; Metazoa; Chordata; Mammalia; Rodentia; Muridae.
UACAACACAUUUUUAACCGAGUCUGCCUCAGC